UACGGGGGGGGCAAGCGUUGUUCGGAAUUACUGGGCGUAAAGGGUUCGUAGGUGGCCAACUAAGUCAGACGUGAAAUCCCUCAGCUUAACUGGGGAACUGCGUCUGAUACUGCUUUGCUAGAGUACAGAAGGGGCAAUCGGAAUUCUUGGUGUAGCGGUGAAAUGCGUAGAUAUCAAGAGGAACACCUGAGGUGAAGACGGGUUGCUGGGCUGAUACUGACGCUGAGGCUCGAAAGCUAGGGGAGCAAACGGG
Molecule: ribosomal RNA, 253 nt
Filed under: uncultured bacterium
Lineage: Bacteria
Description: partial 16S ribosomal RNA
Rfam family: Bacterial small subunit ribosomal RNA
Source: RNAcentral